This 47-nucleotide transfer RNA is filed under the name Hypostomus affinis. RNAcentral's name for it is "partial transfer RNA-Pro". The record is from RNAcentral. Lineage: Eukaryota; Metazoa; Chordata; Actinopteri; Siluriformes; Loricariidae.
CCACCCCUAACUCCCAAAGUUAGGAUUCUAAACUAAACUAUUUUCUG